This 749-nucleotide non-coding RNA is filed under the name Drosophila mojavensis. RNAcentral's name for it is "Eukaryotic large subunit ribosomal RNA". It matches the Rfam family "Eukaryotic large subunit ribosomal RNA", at positions 2174 to 2900 of the family's 3401-position model. The record is from Rfam by way of RNAcentral. Lineage: Eukaryota; Metazoa; Arthropoda; Insecta; Diptera; Drosophilidae.
AUCGGGGUACACGUCACGUUAAACAAAUCAAGGAUUCUGUCCCUAUCUACUAUCUAGCGAAACCACAGCCAAGGGAACGGGCUUGGAAUAAUUAGCGGGGAAAGAAGACCCUUUUGAGCUUGACUCUAAUCUGGCAGUGUAAGGAGACAUAAGAGGUGUAGAAUAAGUGGGAGAUAUUAGGCUUCGGUUUGAUAUCGCCAAUGAAAUACCACUACUCUUAUUGUUUCCUUACUUACUUGAUUAAGUGGAACGUGUAUCAUUUCCUAGCCAUUAUACGGAUAUAUUAAUUAUGUCUUAUGGUAUUGGGUUUUGAUGCAAGCUUCUUGAUCAAAGUAUCACGAGUUUGUUAUAUAAUCGCAAACAAAUUCUUUAAUGAGAAAAUGCAGCAAUGUGUUUUUGAUUUAAUAAUUUGGUAUAACUCCAAUUACUCAGGUAUGAUCCAAUUCAAGGACAUUGCCAGGUAGGGAGUUUGACUGGGGCGGUACAUCUCUCAAAUAAUAACGGAGGUGUCCCAAGGCCAGCUCAGUGCGGACAGAAACCACACAUAGAGCAAAAGGGCAAAUGCUGACUUGAUCUCGGUGUUCAGUACACACAGGGACAGCAAAAGCUCGGCCUAUCGAUCCUUUUGGUUUAAAGAGUUUUUAACAAGAGGUGUCAGAAAAGUUACCAUAGUGAUAAAUGGGCAAAGGCGGCCAAGUGUUCAUAGAGAAGUCGGUAUAUGAUCGUUUGAUGUUGGAUAUUCCAAUCCC